GGGGAUUUAGCUCAGUGGUAGAGCGCUUGCCUAGCAAGAGCAAGGCCCUAGGAAGGCCCUGGGUUCGGUCCCCAGCUCCG
RNAcentral lists this transfer RNA (80 nucleotides) under Rattus norvegicus (Norway rat). It matches the Rfam family "tRNA". From Rfam's summary of the family: Transfer RNA (tRNA) molecules are approximately 80 nucleotides in length. Their secondary structure includes four short double-helical elements and three loops (D, anti-codon, and T loops). Further hydrogen bonds mediate the characteristic L-shaped molecular structure. tRNAs have two regions of fundamental functional importance: the anti-codon, which is responsible for specific mRNA codon recognition, and the 3' end, to which the tRNAs corresponding amino acid is attached (by aminoacyl-tRNA synthetases). tRNAs cope with the degeneracy of the genetic code in two manners: having more than one tRNA (with a specific anti-codon) for a particular amino acid; and 'wobble' base-pairing, i.e. permitting non-standard base-pairing at the 3rd anti-codon position. Lineage: Eukaryota; Metazoa; Chordata; Mammalia; Rodentia; Muridae. The record is from Rfam by way of RNAcentral.